UACGUAGGGGGCAAGCGUUGUCCGGAAUCAUUGGGCGUAAAGAGCGUGUAGGCGGCCCGAUAAGUCCGCUGUGAAAGUCCAGGGCUCAACCCUGGGAUGCCGGUGGAUACUGUCGGGCUCGAGUCCGGAAGAGGAGUGUGGAAUUCCUGGUGUAGCGGUGAAAUGCGCAGAUAUCUGGAGGAACACCGGUGGCGAAGGCGGCAUCCUGGACCAAUUCUGACGCUGAGGAGCGAAAGCCAGGGGAGCAAACGGG
This 253-nucleotide ribosomal RNA is filed under the name uncultured bacterium. Its description in RNAcentral is "partial 16S ribosomal RNA". It matches the Rfam family "Bacterial small subunit ribosomal RNA", at positions 524 to 776 of the family's 1533-position model. The record is from RNAcentral.